This 1681-nucleotide long non-coding RNA is filed under the name Spirodela polyrhiza (greater duckweed). RNAcentral describes it as "long non-coding RNA (SPOL_LNC001325)". The record is from RNAcentral. Lineage: Eukaryota; Viridiplantae; Streptophyta; Magnoliopsida; Alismatales; Araceae.
UCUCCCGCUUUCCACUAAUGGCUCCCAAAAGAGACCCAUCACCCCAACAGCUUCCCUGUCACCUGCUCUCGCCCUCGUCGCUUUUCUUGUCGCUGUCACCGCGAUCGCCCCAUUCCUCUUCCUCUUCUCGAUGGGAUUUCGCGUCUGAUCAACCCUAACUUUCUUGAGGAACUCGCGGCGGGCGGGGGGCCCGCCAGCUGCGCAGGGGGCGGCGCUCCUCGGCGGCGCCGCCUGGCCUCCUCCUUCCCCGCAGGGUGGGUUACAAAGCUUAUGAGAGAACAUUUCUCGCAGAUUGUUCCCAUUGGGACGCUGAUGGCCUCAGAAGUUCUUGACGCUGCAAGUGAGAACCCGCGAGGAGGAGGAUCACAAGACGAAAUUGUCAAUCAUGUGGGAGAUCACGUCUGCACCAGCUGAGUUCAAGCACUGGGUCUUGACCUGAACAAGUCAAAGAGAAAAAGGUUAGUCAUUUGAUCAGCUGUGGGCUCCCUGUGCCGAGGUCAGCUUGCUGCGAUGUACAACAACGCCUGAGCUGCAGAAUUCAUUGAAUCUCUGACCCAGAAUCAGGGUUCCAUGGGAUCGACCGGCAGAAUUAACCAAAUGGGGAAAGCAUCAUGGGUUAGUGAUGCAGUAUUAAUAGGAGAGCACCCUGUAAGAUCCCGUCUUCUCCCAUGAAAUCCAUGGCUAUUACUGGGCUGUUGUAGCCAGGCUCGUCCUUCUCUUGGCGAGUGACUGGUUGUAUGGAAUUUGCCGAUAUGGCUAUAAUAAUCUUCCGUUACUAAAGGGGUCUGUGUCAUUUUUUCUGUUCAUUAUUGGUGAUCGUCUUGAUGAGCGCACAGAGUUCUCCAGCUUCACCUCUCUGUGGACACUCUGAUAGUUGAUAGGAUUGUAGCACAAAAAAUUGAUGAAAUAGAUUUUCAAUUGAAAAAAAAAUCCUAAAAAAGGGCAAUUCUUUCCUUGCACCUGACAUGUCCUCUCUAGACUCUUAUAAGCAAGACUAGCCUCAUAAAAAACUUAAAAAAAGCAUUGAACCUCUUGCUGUAGUGUUUUUUAACCUUAUUUAUUGAAAGCCAGUUUGGAAUGGCUCAAAUGAAAUGAAAAAAAAAAAAACAGAGCGUGUGACAGAACGUGCCUGAAUGGUAUCGUGGGCCAAGAAUCUUUGUAUGGUUUUGUGGAAGCUGACGUCUACUUUUUCCCAGGAAACCUUGUUGAGCGAAUCGAUCAUCGCCUCUGUGGACGAACACAAGAACCACAGUCAGAAGUAACUUAAGGAAAACGUCGUGCGGGGCCAAGUCUACCAUGGCACAGCCUCUUCCAUCCGAUCACUCAAGUAGGAAUAUGAUUUGACCACAGAUUACUGUGCCCGAGAGCCAAAAUUGAAACUUGCACAGCUGGGCCUCGUAUGGGCUGCAACGACGUUCUUGCCUGUUCUUGUUCAGUGGCACAGCUGGGACUCCAUGCUACAAGAGAUGCAGCCAAAAGGGUUGGCAACUCACCAGAGACUCUGUAUGGAAGCGCUCACUCUGAUGUUUUAUGGAAACCUCCAUUACAACUUCAUCAGAAGAUGAAGCUCUAGCUCUGGCUCUCCCUUUUAUUAUUAUUAUUAUUAUUAUUAUUCAUCUCCUUAACCUGCAGUUGGUUUCUCAUUUAGUUCUUCUUUCCUCUUUCAGACCCACAAGCCGGC